AUUGAACGCUGGCGGCACGCUUUACACAUGCAAGUCGUGCGGUAACACUUCGGGUGACGAGCGGCGGACGGGUGCGUAACGCGUGAGAAUCUACCUUUUAGUGGGGGACAACUCGGGGAAACUCGGGCUAAUACCGCAUAUGUCCUACGGGAUAAAGCAGGGGACCUUCGGGCCUUGCGCUAAAAGAUGAGCUCGCGUGAGAUUAGCUUGUUGGUGAGGUAAAGGCUCACCAAGGCAACGAUCUCUAGCUGGUCUGAGAGGAUGAUCAGCCACACUGGGACUGAGACACGGCCCAGACUCCUACGGGAGGCAGCAGUGGGGAAUAUUGGACAAUGGGGGCAACCCUGAUCCAGCAAUUCCGCGUGUGUGAAGAAGGCCUGCGGGUUGUAAAGCACUUUCA
RNAcentral lists this ribosomal RNA (400 nucleotides) under uncultured Gammaproteobacteria bacterium. RNAcentral's name for it is "bacterial SSU rRNA". It matches the Rfam family "Bacterial small subunit ribosomal RNA", at positions 30 to 438 of the family's 1533-position model. The record is from RNAcentral. Lineage: Bacteria; Pseudomonadati; Pseudomonadota; Gammaproteobacteria.